Molecule: long non-coding RNA, 811 nt
Organism: Humulus lupulus (European hop)
Lineage: Eukaryota; Viridiplantae; Streptophyta; Magnoliopsida; Rosales; Cannabaceae
Exons: 2
Source: RefSeq, a predicted model, not a curated record
AACAUAAUCUAUAUCUUGAGAAAUAACUCUUAUUUCGUUAUUUGAAAGAAAAGCUAAUUAAAUAUGCAAUAAAUUAGUUCUGUGUUGUUCUAUGUGAUCAACUUCUCAUAUUAUGCGAUCAGACCCUCUUUAUGUUGCAGAAUGAAAUCAUGGAAAACAGGUUCUCCUUGCUGCAUCCGAUUGCCUGCACAAACAGAUCUACCAUCCAUAUGAACAUAAUUUUUGAUUCGUCAACUUUUCAAAAACUGGGUUUAACAUUUUGCCCCCAAAGUUAGUGUUCAUGGAAGCCUAAGAUUCACUUCAAUACGAUGGUUCCUUAUCCACUAUUCGGUAUAGAUACAUACAUGUCAGUUGAUCGUUUACUUUUCCAAUGUCAAAUUGACUUUUCAAAUUCCUAUCUAUGAAACUUUUUAAACGUUCAAGCCUUCUACUUUAGACGAGAUAGAGAAAACUAGUAUCGAGGCUUCAAUCCUUCAGAAAACAACAUUCCACGAAGAUUAAUUAAGCCUAUCCAUCGUCGUGCACUUCUUAUGUUCAUCUGUGACUACUUCUAGGGAGGUGAGGUGAGUGAUGUGUGUAUGAAGACCUUUAACAACUGCUUUACAAUGAAGAGCCAGAACGUGAACCACCAUUCCAUAACUUUGUGUAACGUCCCAAAUCAAGGAGGGCAUAAUUGGAUGUUUAUGUGUUAGUAUGAUUUAAUUGUGAUUAUAUAUGUGAAUUUUAUGAGUUAUAUUAUGAUACUUAUGCAUGUUUAAGUGUAUUAAAUAUGCUUAUAGACCCGCUUCUAUUAAAAAUGACAUUUUCAUAA